GUCUUAGCGGCGGACGGGUGAGUAACGCGUGGGAACGUGCCCUUCUCUACGGAAUAGUCCCGGGAAACUGGGUUUAAUACCGUAUACGCCCUUCGGGGGAAAGAUUUAUCGGAGAAGGAUCGGCCCGCGUUAGAUUAGGUAGUUGGUGGGGUAACGGCCUACCAAGCCUACGAUCUAUAGCUGGUUUGAGAGGAUGAUCAGCCACACUGGGACUGAGACACGGCCCAGACUCCUACGGGAGGCAGCAGUGGGGAAUCUUAGACAAUGGGGGAAACCCUGAUCUAGCCAUGCCGCGUGAGUGACGAAGGCCCUAGGGUCGUAAAGCUCUUUCGCUGGGGAAGAUAAUGACUGUACCCAGUAAAGAAACCCCGGCUAACUCCGUGCCAGCAGCCGCGGUAAUACGGAGGGGGUUAGCGUUGUUCGGAAUUACUGGGCGUAAAGCGCGCGUAGGCGGACUAUUAAGUCAGGGGUGAAAUCCCGGGGCUCAACCCCGGAACUGCCUUUGAUACUGGUAGUCUAGAGUUCGAGAGAGGUGAGUGGAACUCCGAGUGUAGAGGUGAAAUUCGUAGAUAUUCGGAAGAACACCAGUGGCGAAGGCGGCUCACUGGCUCGAUACUGACGCUGAGGUGCGAAAGUGUGGGGAGCAAACAGGAUUAGAUACCCUGGUAGUCCACACCGUAAACGAUGAAUGCCAGUCGUCGGAUAGCUUGCUAUUCGGUGACACACCUAA
This 730-nucleotide ribosomal RNA is filed under the name bacterium SCSIO13329. Its description in RNAcentral is "bacterial SSU rRNA". It matches the Rfam family "Bacterial small subunit ribosomal RNA", at positions 89 to 855 of the family's 1533-position model. The record is from RNAcentral.